Molecule: transfer RNA, 73 nt
Filed under: Ixodes scapularis (black-legged tick)
Lineage: Eukaryota; Metazoa; Arthropoda; Arachnida; Ixodida; Ixodidae
Rfam family: tRNA
About the family: Transfer RNA (tRNA) molecules are approximately 80 nucleotides in length.
Source: Rfam by way of RNAcentral
CCCUGGUUAGCUCAGUCGCUAGAGCGCUCCACCUGUAAUGAAGAGGUCGCGAGUUCGACACCCGGACCAGGCG